GUUCGAUUCAGCAGCACAUAUACUAAAAUUGGAACAAUACAGAGAUUAGCAUGGACCCUGCACAAAGAUGACACACGAAUUCAUGAAGCGUUUCAUAUUUAA
Erinaceus europaeus (western European hedgehog) is the source of this 102-nucleotide non-coding RNA. NCBI's taxonomy places the organism in Eukaryota, Metazoa, Chordata, Mammalia, Eulipotyphla, Erinaceidae. The record is from Rfam.